CGGUGGUGGAUGGGGAGUAGAAAAGUGGGGGCUGGUUUGGAAGAUGUUAAGGAGGCGGCGAGAGGUGUUUGCGAUCUCGAGUAAAUCGGCCUGACACCUUUUUUUUUUUUUUUUUUUUUGUCUAAUGCGGGUGGAUCAGACCUGUCGGGACUGGAUACACCCAAUAAGAUCAAAAAAAUAGGAUACCUCGAAGUGCCAAGGGCAACUCCCCAUCGCCAAUCCACAAGGUGCCUCCGGAGUGACAAGCUACAUAUGCAGCUACCCAAUCCGCAGCAUCAUUACCUUCACGGUAAAUAUGCUUGGCCUGAAAGGCCCAUCCAUCCCUAUUUGUAGUAGCAAUCUAUGUACCAAUAUAAUCUCCCCUGACAACCAUCCUUCCUAAUAUCUAUGAAAGCCACAUCAAACAAGGAUAAAGGGAUUGUGAAUCAAAUGAAUAUGGGUGAACGCGAGAUUUGAGUGGAUUACCUGGAGGUCGAUCAAUCCGAAAACACCUGAGGUCUUCUUCUAUGAGGAAUUCCCCGGGAGAAGGCAGACUAUUAGCACGACAAAAGAGGCAGACCAGUAUCUCUUGAUCAGUAGGCUUGAAGUGAAAGCCGAGGUGAAGGCGGCUCUCCAUCUUUGCCUUCUUUUCUGCAAAUUCUGGAGCUCUUGAUGGACAGAAGGCGAGGAGGAGGAAGGUAAGGCUUUGAUGCGAUACCAGUGGGAAAGAGAGAAGAGAGAGAGAGAGAGAACAAAGAAUCUUUCUCUAAGUAAGUAAGAGAAGGAGAGAGAUGAUCUACGGGUGGGGUCUGGGUCAGGGAACCGCGAGCAGUGGCCGAUCCCAACAGGCAGCCUGCGGCAAAAAUCACCCACAAAAGCCACUGAGGUGGUAGCACGGUGGAAACGGAGCUUUAAUUUCACCGCAGUGGCCCAGGUUCGAAACGCACGGACGUCGAUUUAAUGUGAAGACCGGAUGCUCCCCGUCUGGCUCAUCCGAUGGAGUCGCUAUCUGGUCUGCCGGUAUCGAGAUGGCAUUGGGGUGACGUACUCACACAUAGGUGUUGAGCCUAUGAGUCGGGGAGAGUACGCGGAAACU
RNAcentral lists this long non-coding RNA (1075 nucleotides) under Phoenix dactylifera (date palm). RNAcentral describes it as "long non-coding RNA (PDAC_LNC013932)". Lineage: Eukaryota; Viridiplantae; Streptophyta; Magnoliopsida; Arecales; Arecaceae. The record is from RNAcentral.